This 492-nucleotide ribosomal RNA is filed under the name uncultured bacterium. RNAcentral's name for it is "partial 16S ribosomal RNA". It matches the Rfam family "Bacterial small subunit ribosomal RNA", at positions 29 to 507 of the family's 1533-position model. The record is from RNAcentral.
AGUGAACGCUGGCGGUAGGCCUAACACAUGCAAGUCGAACGGCAGCACAGUAAGAGCUUGCUCUUACGGGUGGCGAGUGGCGGACGGGUGAGGAAUACAUCGGAAUCUACUUUUUCGUGGGGGAUAACGUAGGGAAACUUACGCUAAUACCGCAUACGACCUACGGGUGAAAGCAGGGGAUCUUCGGACCUUGCGCGAUUGAAUGAGCCGAUGUCGGAUUAGCUAGUUGGCGGGGUAAAGGCCCACCAAGGCGACGAUCCGUAGCUGGUCUGAGAGGAUGAUCAGCCACACUGGAACUGAGACACGGUCCAGACUCCUACGGGAGGCAGCAGUGGGGAAUAUUGGACAAUGGGCGCAAGCCUGCUCCAGCCAUGCCGCGUGGGUGAAGAAGGCCUUCGGGUUGUAAAGCCCUUUUGUUGGGAAAGAAAAGCAGCAGGUUAAUACCCCGCUGUUCUGACGGUACCCAAAGAAUAAGCACCGGCUAACUUCGUG